Molecule: RNA transcript, 970 nt
Organism: Hylaeus volcanicus
Lineage: Eukaryota; Metazoa; Arthropoda; Insecta; Hymenoptera; Colletidae
Gene name: dnaJ homolog subfamily C member 24-like
Exons: 4
Source: RefSeq, a predicted model, not a curated record
GAAUAUGCUAACAUGACUUGAGAUAUCCUUAUACAACAAGCCUUGUAAGAGAAAAUCCAGUGUACUUUUUUUGAAAAAAAAAAUUCAAAAGGGAUAAGGUCACGAUUUAUUGCAUUAAAAAGAGGGUCCUUGUACGUCAAAGCGAUAGGCUAGUAACAAGUUGUUAGUAUAAAAUUAUUUCUACAGCAACCAAGGAAUAAAGGUCAAAAUAACAUUUUACUUUAAACAAAUAUAUUUUCUUUACAAAAGUUGUUGUUGAAUGGCUUUUUUUCAUAAAAAAAAAAUGGUAAAAAGGUCUCUGUUUUGGACCAGUUUAAAAAGUGUUUGAUAAGAUCAGACAAUGAGUUCCAGGACAGAUCUGUUACGGUCAAGGAUGCCUGCUGCAGUUUACUUUUGUAAGCGUUUUCGUUACACGGUGUCAAAGUACCGUAAUUGUUAAGGGUAAUGGUAAUGACAUAUGAAACAGCAUUAUCAUUACUUAAUAUAACAGAAAUUAAAGAUCUCCAUGCACUCCAAAAAUGUUUCAGACGUAAAGCCCUACACUGUCAUCCAGACAAAAUUGCUCAUCAACUUGAAAAAGAAGCAAAGACAUCCACCAAGCCAACGGAGGAAUUCCAACACGUUUUGGAAGCUUUUGAAUUUCUUGAAAAAAAAUUACUUAACAACAACAGUGAUUUAAAGUCACUCGAAUUUUCUACGGAAGACACACUUCAGGCAUACCAAAUAAAUUUGAGUGAAACGGAAAACGUUGGUCUUGAUACGUUUUUUUUUUCUUGUCGCUGCGGUUAUGAUGUCACCAUUGAUUUGGAUUUUGCAACACAACAUCAUUCAUUUACAAUCGUGUUUUGUGAGGGUUGUUCAUGCAAGUAUAAUGUCAGUUUGAAGACUUAACAAAAACUUUCCGCCUACAUUUCGCAAACAACUGUUUAGCUCACCUUUUGUGUCAGAAAUUGUCAUCAGGAUCACUUAA